CUCAUAUAGCAAAACCCUCUCUCUCUCUCUCUCCCCGGAUCAUCUCAUCUUUUCUCAGUAGCUCUGGUUCUGCUUUUUCGGUGCAUUUUCUGGUUUUCCGGCAGUUUGAUGAGGUUUUCUUGAACCCGGCGGAGGCAGCAGCGGCUUGGGCAGUGCUUGGAGAUCGGCGGUGCUCUUUUCUACCUUGAAUAUAAGAUCCGUUUGGACGGCUGCGAUUAAAUUCUGCGCCGGAUAGAAGAUCUCGCUGGAAUUUCGGAUUGGGGCUAUGAGGAUGCUUUUGGGGAGAGUGUUGAUCGUAUAGUGCCUCAUCCUGGUGGUGAACCAGCCAAAAAGUUUGUAUCUCAACAUUAUUUCCAUAAGGAGCCACAGCGUGCAGUAGCAAGUUCUGUUGGGAGGAGCACCGAUGGCAAAAACUAUGUAGUUAAAAAUGUUUUGCAGGGAAUGAGAAGACUACCUUUCAUUCAACUAUAAAGUACCGAAAGGCCUCAAUGCUGGAGAAGAGUUUGUGGCCCCACAUGCACGACAAUGCAUUUCAUGCUUCAUGUGAUAGUAGGCCCAUCAAUGCUCUGACUGGUUUACCUUUUGACAAAUCUAAAGUAUCUGAUAAUUGCUUCAAAAGUAGCAGUGUAGAGUCACUUGGCAAUGAGUUUUGUGCAAAUGAUCCUAUCCUUGGAAAGGGAGGUGCUGUAGUUGACAGCAACUUCUGCCGCUUCCUGCUUGGUGAUAUUUCUCCAGCAGACAAUGAUCUUGAAUUUUAUGGGAAUGAACAUGAGGACAAAGAGAGUAGCAUUCUUUUGGAUUAUGGGUGGUCUGAUAUCGGCAAUUUUGAGGAUAUUGACAGAAUGUUCAGAAACUGUGAUUCCACAUUCGGGGAAGAAAAUAUUUGUACUAUGGCUGCAAACGAAUUGUCAUGGUUUCCAGCUUCCUCACAUGAAAUCGAUGGCUCUGAUGAUGCUCUUAAACCAGGUGUCAGAUCUUCGUGUUCAGAGUCUAGUGCAUUGAAGAGUAAAUCAAAGCAUUGUGAAGCUGCUAUGAAGUCCAUGCCUGGCAGUGACCCCCCUCUGAUAUCUAGUUUUGAUAGGAAAAGUAGCUCCUACACUUGUAAGACAGGUUCUUGGACUUCUGAUGCUGAUGAGCCUCCUCAUCUGGGUCACUGCCAUUACACUGACUGGUUGAAUGCUGAUGCUGAAAAUGAGGGGGAAUCUGCAUCUGUAAAACUGGUAGAUGAAGGUACCUGCCCAGAUGAGGUCAAACUACCACCUCUUGAACAGCUUAACAAUGCUGUGGAGAGAUCUUCUGAUCCUCUGUCAAAGCCUUCAACUUUUCCAGAGCAAAAGGCAGGAAAGCUCCAUCAAUGGCAGCAAGUACGAGCUGCAUCAACUAUUGAGAACCAACAGGAGCAUUGUAUGUGCCAGACUGCAUUUGGUGAUCCAGUUCCAGUUCAGAAGAAACUGCACCAAAUUCAACAUGAAGUUGGAGAUGAUAGUGAAGUGAAAGAGCUUGGCAUGGAACUCCCAGCAGUAGAAAUAAAUUCUUCAAUUGGACAGGAAAGCUCCUGUAUGAGCUUUGUUCUGCUUGAUGAACUCUCAUUGGAAGCAAUAAGCUUUUGUCAGCUUCAGGAUGAUAUGGAGCAGUUGGAUAUCAGAACAAAGUUAUGUAUACGAGAUAGUUUGUAUCGUUUAUCUAGGAGUGCUGAACAACGCCGUAAUCUUGGUAGCACAAAUGGUAGUAGCAAAGAUAGCAGAGGUGGAAGUGGAGCUCCAAGUGCAGAAGAAUCAAACAUGUGUGUGGGAUCAAUGGAUGUGGAAACUGACACAAAUCCCAUAGAUCGGGCAGUUGUGCAUUUGCUUUUCUACAGGCCCUUUGAGCCAUCAAAGAGGUCUUCUAAUGGUUCCUUGUCUCUUGAAUCAAUAUCAUAUCAGCCUAUGAUGCCCGACCAACAAGUUUUUGAGAAAGACAUCAUUGUUCAUUUUACUGACUGGUAGCCACAAAUCAAGCUCAAGACAAACCUCUAUGAAAAGUUCCCAUGUGUUUUGAACCGUCAAUGUCAUCAUGUAUAAAUAAUGACUCUGAAGUGGCACCAGUGAACAAGUCAGGGUGAGAAUCUUUGUAGUCCUGAUCAGAUUGAGGGGGAAGCUUCUAUUACCGACAAUGUGCCUCUUCCAAUUCUUGAUUCUUUGAAAAUUCAUGGGUAGAUGAUUUUCAUGGAACUUUUGCACCUGUGGCAAAAUUGGACUUUGUGCGGGUUUCAUUGUCUCUUGCCGGUAAUAACUCUUGGCCGCUAUUACCAAUUAAAUGUCAAGAAUGCAUUUCUUCAUGGGGAUCUUUGGAAGAAAUGUAUAUGACUUCACUACUAGGGUUCUUUCCAUCCACUGGUAGUGGUACAAUGAGCAAGCUUGGAAUGGUCUUGUCAUCUCUGGCUUAAACGUUUUAGUACUGCUAUGCAUAAAUUUGUCUUUCUCAUAGUUUUAUUGAUCUUACCCCAUUCUUUAAAGAGGAACACUGGAAUCAAAUGGUGGUAAGUUGUGUUGAUGAUUUGUUGUUGUGGGAGAUGACACAGAUGAGAUUAAGAAUUUAAAGAAGUUUACAGUCAAAGGGUUCAACAUCAAAGAUCUUGCUCUGUUGAAAUAUUUCUUGGGAAUUGGAGUUGAUAGGAUGCAGGGGGAAUGUUAUACUCUCCAGAAGUAUGUUCUGGACUUAUUGCAUGAGCUGGUUUAAUUGGUGCUUGUCCAACUGACACUCCAGUUGAACAGAGUCAUCACCUUCAGCUAGAUAGUGGAGAGUUAUUGACCUAUACGGGUAUGCUAGCAAUUGGUUGGUGGGCUCGUCUAUUUGCAAAUUACGAGAUCAUAUACAUCGUACAUCAUCUAUGUUGUUGGCAAGUUCAUGCAUUCUCCAUUUACAUGUUAUUCAGAUGUUGUAUAUAAAAAGGUUCCCUGAUCGAGUUAUUCUCUAUUCGAAGCAUAGUCAUCUUGAUGUUGAGGUAUAUACUAAUGUUGACUGGCCUGGUCACAUAUUGAUAGAAGAUCCACGACUGGCUAUGGUACAAUGGUUGGUGGUAAUCCAGUUACAUGAAAGAGUAAGAAGCAAUAAUUCUCUGUUCCAAGCAUGGUCAUCUUGAUGUUGAGGUAUAUACUAAUGUUGACUGGCCUAGUCACAUAUUGAUAGAAGAUCCGCUACUGGCUAUGGUACAAUGGUUGGUAGUAAUCGGGUUACGUGGAAGAGUAAGAAGCAAUAGCUCUCUAUUCCAAGCAUGGUCAUCUUGAUGUUGAGGUAUAUACUAAUGUUGACUGGCCUGGUCUCACAUAUUGAUAGAAGAUCCACUACUGGCUAUGGUACAAUGGUCAGUGGUAAUCCGGUUAUGUGGUAGAGUAAGAAGCAAUAAUUCUCUGUUCCAAGCAUGGUCAUCUUGAUGUUGAGGUAUAUACUAAUGCUGACUGGCCUGGUCACAUAUUGAUAGAAGAUCCACUACUGGCUCUGGUACAAUGGUUGGUUGUAAUCUGGUUGUGUGGAAGAGUAAGAAGCAAUAAUUCUCUGUUCCAAGCAUGGUCAUCUUGAUGUUGAGGUAUAUACUAAUGUCGACUGGCCUGGUCAUAUAUUGAUAGAAGAUCCACUACUGGCUAUGGUACAAUGGUUGGUGGUAAUCCGGUUACGUGGACAAGUAAGAAGCAAUAAUUCUCUAUUCCAAGCAUGGCCAUCUUGAUGUUGAGGUACCUACUAAUGUUGAUUGGCCUGGUCACAUAUUGAUAUAGAAGAUCCAGUACUGGCUAUGGUACAAUGGUUGAUGGUAAUCCAGUUGCGUGGAAGAGUAAGAAGCAAUAAUUGUUGUACGAUUUUGUGCUGAAGCAAAGUGUCAUGCUAUGGUUCAUGGGGGUUGUGAGCUGCUUUAGUUGAACACCAUGCUAAGAGAGUUGGGCAUGCAUGUUAAUCUUCUGAAAACGAUGAAUGCACAAAAUAUAUUGAAGUCAAAGACUUAUUUUACUUUGCGAGAAGGUGACUUCAAACGAGAUUAAAUGUCAUAUCCAAAGUCCAAAGAUCAGCUGGCAGAUUUUUGAACUAAAGCAAUUGGUUGUUGUCACUUGUUAGUUUGACUAGACAUGUUACAAGUAGCCCAUGGUUGGCACUCUUACUCCAGCUUGAGGGGGAGUGUAGAGACACGGAGUCAGUCAUGUAGCAAACUAUUGUUUCAUGUUUUACUGUUCUUGUUUUGCGUACCAUAUAGUAAUGCAGUCAUGCAAAGUGCCAUAUUUGACAGCGACAUGGAAUAUAAAAUAGAGUUGUUUGUUUCAUUGCCAAAUAAAAAAUGUAGUUGUUUGGUUCA
This is an RNA transcript of Magnolia sinica, 4321 nucleotides long. It is a transcript of the gene named protein LNK1-like, with no coding region annotated. The transcript has 9 exons. The record is from RefSeq and is a predicted model, not a curated record. NCBI's taxonomy places the organism in Eukaryota, Viridiplantae, Streptophyta, Magnoliopsida, Magnoliales, Magnoliaceae.